ACUCCUACGGGAGGCAGCAGUGAGGAAUAUUGGUCAAUGGACGGAAGUCUGAACCAGCCAAGUAGCGUGCAGGAUGACGGCCCUAUGGGUUGUAAACUGCUUUUAUAUAGGGAUAAAGUCGGGGACGUGUCCCCGUUUGUAGGUACUAUAUGAAUAAGGACCGGCUAAUUCCGUGCCAGCAGCCGCGGUAAUU
Molecule: ribosomal RNA, 193 nt
Filed under: uncultured bacterium
Lineage: Bacteria
Description: partial 16S ribosomal RNA
Rfam family: Bacterial small subunit ribosomal RNA
Source: RNAcentral